Molecule: ribosomal RNA, 411 nt
Filed under: uncultured bacterium
Lineage: Bacteria
Description: bacterial SSU rRNA
Rfam family: Bacterial small subunit ribosomal RNA
Source: RNAcentral
CGGCACGCCUUAUACAUGCAAGUCGAACGAAGUAGCAAUACUUAGUGGCAGACGGGUGAGUAACAUGUAGGUAUCUUCCCUUUGGUGAGGAAUAACACGAGGAAACUUGUGCUAAUACCUCAUAAGUCUUAACGGAGAAAGCUUUAUGCGCCGAAGGAUGAGCCUGCACUUGAUUAGUUUGUUGGUGGGGUAAUGGCCUACCAAGACUUUGAUCUAUAGCUGGUUUUAGAGGAUGAUCAGCAACACUGGGACUGAGACACGGCCCAGACUCCUACGGGAGGCAGCAGUAGGGAAUCUUGGACAAUGGGGGCAACCCUGAUCCAGCCAUGCCGCGUGAGUGAAGAAGGCCUUAGGGUCGUAAAGCUCUUUCGCCUGUGAUGAUAAUGACAGUAGCAGGUAAAGAAACCCCGG